UCAAGCUGAAUCUUGAUGUGGUUGCAAUUGCAUGGGAUGGCGUCUAUGCAAACUAGUUUGGCAUCAGCUAUAUGCAACAACAGGAACCACUCGACUUCCCCAAAAUUUCUGAGCAGCUCUUUCUUGCAUGGGGUUGAUGUGAUCGGACAGGCUGCCGGCUUUCGAAGAAAGGACAUAAUUCCCACUGCCUUUUCAGGCCCGAAAGCUACAUUGACCUUUGAUCCGCCCACUAACAACAAAGAGAGGGUUAACCAACGGAAGCACACGGCCGAUCCUAAUGCUCCUGAUUUUCUUCCACUUCCGUCCUUCGAGGAAUGUUUCCCUAAAAGCUCCAAAGAAUACACGGAAGUCAUUCAUGAGCAUUCUGGCCAUUUGCUGAGAAUUCCAUUUCGACGAAUUCACCUAUCGGGAGAAGAACCCCAUUUUGACACCUAUGACACCAGCGGUCCACAGAACAUCAGCCCACGCAUUGGACUCCCCAAGUUGCGGAAGGAGUGGAUUGCCAGAAGAGAGAAAUUGGGUGGACCAAGGUACACCCAAAUGUUCUAUGCUAAGCAGGGAAUCAUAACUGAGGAGAUGGCAUUCUGUGCAGCUCGUGAAAAUCUCGACCCAGAAUUUGUAAGAUCUGAGGUUGCUCGUGGUCGUGCAAUCAUCCCGUCAAACAAGAAGCACCCAGAAUUGGAGCCAAUGAUAGUUGGACGCAAUUUCUUGGUGAAAGUAAAUGCUAAUAUUGGGAACUCUGCUGUUGUAAGCUCCAUCGAGGAAGAAGUCCACAAACUCCAAUGGGCAACAAUGUGGGGUGCUGAUACCAUUAUGGAUCUUUCCACCGGACGUCACAUCCAUGAGACUCGUGAGUGGAUCCUGCGUAACUCUGCUGUACCAGUAGGAACUGUGCCCAUCUAUCAAGCACUGGAAAAAGUGAAUGGCAUUGCUGAGAAUCUCACUUGGGAAAUAUUCAGGGACACACUGAUCGAACAAGCUGAACAGGGUGUCGAUUACUUUACAAUCCAUGCCGGUGUCCUACUCCGUUACAUCCCACUAACAGCCAAGCGGAUGACUGGCAUUGUUUCUCGUGGUGGAUCCAUUCACGCAAAAUGGUGCUUGGCUCAUCACAAAGAGAACUUUGCCUACGAACACUGGGAUGAUAUCCUAGACAUUUGUAAUCAGUAUGAUAUAUCCUUGUCAAUUGGUGAUGGAUUGAGGCCCGGAUCCAUAUAUGAUGCCAAUGACACGGCCCAGUUUGCUGAGCUCUUAACUCAAGGAGAAUUGACUCGUCGGGCUUGGGAAAAAGACGUACAGGUAAUGAAUGAAGGGCCAGGACAUAUUCCCAUGCAUAAGAUCCCUGAGAAUAUGCAGAAACAGCUAGAAUGGUGUAAUGAAGCACCUUUCUACACUCUCGGACCUUUAACAACCGACAUUGCUCCUGGAUAUGAUCACAUUACCUCAGCCAUUGGCGCUGCGAAUAUUGGGGCUCUCGGCACGGCACUUCUGUGUUAUGUGACUCCUAAAGAACAUCUCGGUUUGCCGAAUCGAGAUGACGUGAAGGCUGGGGUUAUAGCAUAUAAGAUAGCCGCACAUGCUGCUGAUUUAGCAAAAUGCCAUCCGCUUGCACAAGCUUGGGAUGAUGCACUGAGCAAGGCAAGAUUUGAGUUCAGAUGGAUGGAUCAAUUCGCUUUAUCAUUGGACCCCAUGACAGCCAUGUCCUUUCACGAUGAAACCUUGCCAUCUGAUGGUGCUAAAGUGGCACAUUUCUGCUCUAUGUGUGGGCCCAAGUUCUGUUCUAUGAAAAUAACUGAGGAUGUAAGAAAAUAUGCUGAGGAGCAUGGUUAUGGGACUGCCGAGGAAGCAGUCCAGCGCGGUAUGGAUGCCAUGAGUGCAGAAUUCCUAGCUGCAAAGAAAACUAUCAGCGGGGAGCAACAUGGUGAGAUUGGAGGAGAAAUCUACCUGCCGGAAGAGUACGUAAAAUCCAUCAAGACCUAAAGGCCUUUCCUCCUGGCAAACCGUAAUAAACUCUGAGAUGCAGAUCGGAAUGUCUGAGCUAUAAAGCAUGGUCGAAAAAUGUGGUUUUAGAAACCUCAUCUUCAAAAGCAGUAGCCAGGACAACGAGCAGGUCGGGCUGAGAAAGUCCCUUUGAACCUGAACAGGAUAAUGCCUGCGUAGGGAGCGUGCAUUUUUCUUUUCUGUGCUUACACAGGGCAGGAGAUUCAUCCCCCGUUUCAGGAUUUUCUGCUUCGUGCGUCGGCAACUUUCUUGGAAAAUUGUUGCUGUCUGGCUGGGAAGUAGAUGAACUAACAAUACUAUUUGAAAUCCAUUUUCAUCUCAUAAGUUGCUCAGUUUAGUUCAUAAUCGGCCACUCAUGGUUUUACUACA
Sesamum indicum (sesame) is the source of this 2370-nucleotide RNA transcript. It is a transcript of the gene named thiaminC, with no coding region annotated. Lineage: Eukaryota; Viridiplantae; Streptophyta; Magnoliopsida; Lamiales; Pedaliaceae. The record is from RefSeq and is a predicted model, not a curated record.